This 466-nucleotide ribosomal RNA is filed under the name uncultured bacterium. RNAcentral's name for it is "bacterial SSU rRNA". It matches the Rfam family "Bacterial small subunit ribosomal RNA", at positions 64 to 530 of the family's 1533-position model. The record is from RNAcentral.
GAGCGGUAGGGUUUCUUCGGAAACCUGAGAGCGGCGCACGGGUGCGGAACACGUGUGCAACCUACCUUUAUCAGGGGGAUAGCCUUUCGAAAGGAAGAUUAAUACCCCAUAAUAUAUUAGAUGGCAUCAUUUGAUAUUGAAAACUCCGGUGGAUAGAGAUGGGCACGCGCAAGAUUAGAUAGUUGGUGAGGUAACGGCUCACCAAGUCAGUGAUCUUUAGGGGGCCUGAGAGGGUGAUCCCCCACACUGGUACUGAGACACGGACCAGACUCCUACGGGAGGCAGCAGUGAGGAAUAUUGGACAAUGGGUGAGAGCCUGAUCCAGCCAUCCCGCGUGAAGGAUGACGGCCCUAUGGGUUGUAAACUUCUUUUGUAUAGGGAUAAACCUUUCCACGUGUGGAAAGCUGAAGGUACUAUACGAAUAAGCACCGGCUAACUCCGUGCCAGCAGCCGCGGUAAUACGGAG